RNAcentral lists this long non-coding RNA (5364 nucleotides) under Zea mays. RNAcentral's name for it is "long non-coding RNA (ZMAY_LNC002278)". Lineage: Eukaryota; Viridiplantae; Streptophyta; Magnoliopsida; Poales; Poaceae. The record is from RNAcentral.
AGGAAUCAAGAAACGUAUACAGAUUUAGCUCCCCAAUAGAUGACAAAACGUUUGCGGAAAUGCCACAUCACUGCAUUAGGAAAGGAAACAAGAAUAUUACUGUAAUGGCCCGUGGCCGCCGACGGGAGAACCGCCGCGACGUGAGCUCGCUGCAGCCGCCAGGUACGCUGCCAGGUUACGGUUGGGAACUUUUCUCUGGUUCUAUUUCUUGUCUGCCUUAUUCUCAGUUCGCUACAGAAUUAUAGGUCACUUACAUGGGCCGAACCCACCAAACUCACGCCCACACACAUUGAGCCCAACAGCACGCACACCACGCACUUCCUGCUUCUUCAGUCUCCCAGCCUCUCUUCUCCCGCAUCCUUGCUCUCCAUGGCACUUCCUGCCGUGACAUUCGCCCCCCCUUCAAGGCUUGCUUGGCCCCAAGCAAGGGCAUCCGGGUAGCGCUGACGCAGAACAUUGUAAUCUUCCCAUGUGGUGGCAUCAGCUGGAAGCAAACUCCACCGGAUCAACACCUGGGGCACAGCACGAUUCCCUUUCUUGACCAACCGGCGAUCCAGAAUCUCCAAAGGUUGAACAUUGCGACUACUCAAAUCAGAGUAAGCAGGCAGAUUAGAAAAAACAGGAGUGUAAUCUGGAAUGAACGGUUUCAACUGUGAGACAUGAAACACCGGAUGCACUUGAGCCGACGCAGGCAACUCCAAACGGUAAGCCACUGCUCCCACACGCUCCACGAUCUUGUAAGGUCCAAAAAACUUAAAUGCAAGCUUCGGACAAGGUGUACUGACCACGGAAUGUUGCGCAUACGGCUGGAGUUUGAGCAACACCAUAUCGCCCACUUGAAACUGUCGAUCAGUGCGAAGACGAUCUGCUCGCAGUUUCAUGCGAUUCUGGGCUGCGGCCAGUUGCUCCCGUAACAUGGCUGUAAACUGUGCUCUCUCAACUAAAACUUGUGCGACAUCAGCUGCAGUGUCGGAAGGCACAGAAGGUGCUGCUGCAAAGGGAGGAUCAUACCCAUACAGAACCUUGAAUGGAGAACAAGCUAAAGAUGUGUGAUAAGAGGUAUUGUACCAAAAUUCAGCAAGCGGUAGCCAGGUCUUCCACUUAGUUGGUUGAGCAUGAACUGCACAUCUCAAAUACAUCUCAACACAUUGAUUUACACGCUCACUUUGACCGUCGGACUGUGGAUGGUAUGCGGUGCUUAAAUUCAGCUUAGUACCCAAAAUCUUGAACAAUUGAGUCCAAAAGGCACUGGUAAAGAUCUUGUCCCGAUCACUGACAAUAGACUUGGGAAGGCCAUGUAACCGGACCACCUGAUCCAAAAUGACCUGAGCCACUUGGGAAGCAGUAAAUGGGUGUUUCAGGGCAAUAAAAUGAGCAUACUUCGUGAAACGAUCCACUACAACCAGGAUAGUAUCACAUCCACCAGAUUGUGGUAACUUCUCGAUAAAAUCCAUUGUAAUAUCCUGCCAAGCACCUUGAGGAAUGGGAAUGGGGUGCAGCAAACCAGCGGGGUGUACUCUUUCGCCUUUGGCCUGCUGGCAGAUUUGGCAUUGUUGCACAAAAUCAGCCACAUCAGAUUUCAUUCCCUUCCACACAAACAACUUCUUGAGGCGAUGAUAAGUGGCAUGCAUCCCAGAAUGACCCCCAGCCGCGCUGUCAUGAACCGCUGCCACUAAUUUAGUGCGAAGAGCAGAAUUCUGUCCCACCCAAAUCAGACCUCCUUUCCUGAUCACCCCUUGAGAUAAAGAAUAACCGUGUUCAUCAGGAUUAUGGACACAUAACCGAGCCAGGAGAGAUUGAGCAGCAGGAUCAGUCACAUAGGAAUUUGUAACUUCUUGGAUCCAAAGUGGUUGAACCUCACUGACUGCUGUUAAUGCCAUCACUGCCCCCACCCGAGAAAGUGCAUCUGCAACCUUGUUCUCUUUACCUUGCUUGUAAACCACUUUAAACUGCAGACCCAUCAGCUUAGCCAUCGCCUUUCGCUGCAACUCGGAAUGUAAAUCUUGACUGCCCAAGAAACUGAGAGCCUUGUGGUCGGUCCGAAUUUCAAACUCACUCCGCUGUAAAUAAUGGCGCCAACGAUCGACAGCCAUGAUCAAUGCAAUGAAUUCUUUUUCAUAUAUUGACAGUUUCUGACUUUUAAUGCCCAAAGCCUUACUCAAGAAAGCUAUUGGUCGGCCCCUCUGCAUUAGAACCGCCCCCACUCCAUCGUCACAAGCGUCAGUCUCUACCACAAAAGGAAUAUUAAAAUCUGGUAAUGCAAGGACCGGUGUGGACACCAUGGCCUGCUUCAACCUCUGAAAAGCCAUCUCUGCCUCUGAUGUCCAUUGGAAUGCCCCUUUUUGUAACAGCCUGGUGAGAGGCCUAGCAAUGGCACCAUAACCCUGCACAAACCGCCUGUAGUAUCCUGUCAGACCGAGAAAACCUCUGAGAUCUGUGACAUUCAACGGCUUGGGCCACUUGAGCAUAGCAUCAGUUUUCGUGGGGUCAGUCGCUACCCCAUUCCCAGAAAUAAUAUGACCCAAAUAUGACAACUCCUUUUUACCAAAGACACACUUCCUUUCUUUGAGAUAAAAUUUGUGGUGUCGCAAGGCAGUGAAAACCAGCCGGAGGUGCUCCAAAUGAGAUUGCCAAUUGGGGCUAUAAACCAGGAUAUCAUCAAUAAAGACCAUGACAAACUUGCGAAGAAAAGGAGCUAACACCAAAUUCAUGGCACACUGAAAGGUGGCCGGAGCGUUGAUAAGACCAAAAGGCAUGACUCGGAACUGAUAGUGGCCCUGAUGAGUUUUGAAUGCCGUUUUAAACUCCUCGGAGACACCCAUGCGUAUCUGAUGGUAACCUGAAGUCAUGUCCAGACUCGAAAAGAUUUCAGUACCCGCCAAUUCAUCCAGAAUUUCCUCCACCACUGGCAUGGGAAACCGAUUCUUAAUAGUCAUAUCAUUCAAUUUGCGAUAAUCGACACAAAAACGCCAUGUACCAUCCUUCUUCUGCACCAAGAGGACUGGAGACGCAAACGGGCUCACGCUUGGAGUGAUCAAACCGGAUUUCAACAAGUCUGCCACUUGUCGCUCAAUCUCUGUCUUAUGGUGAGGGGAAUAUUUGUAGGGCCGAGCAUUAACUGGUAUGGACCCCGGAAGCAAAGGAAUGUGAUGAUCAAAUGGCCGAGAUGGAGGUAAGACUGUAGGUGCCUCAAAAAUAUCCAUGAAUUCUCCCAGCAACCCUUGCAAAUCUGUAUGAAUUUCGUUGAUGCUCACUGCAGUCACCUCUUCCAACAGAGCAAACACCCAGAUAUCAUUUCCGCGCAACCACCGCUCCACUUGUAAAGAAGAUACCUCCUGCACCACUUGUUGUUGUGGAUGAUUUCCCACCAACUGGACCUCGAUCCCUUUGUCCACAAAACUGAUCACCUGAGCUUCCCAAUCACAAUGCAUAGGACUGUGCCUUCUCAACCAAUCAUAGCCUAAAAUAGCAUCAUAGGCCCCCAGCCCUAGCACCCUCAUAUCAUUCUGGUAUGUGUGUCCGUUGGCCCACCACUCCAGUGAUCGCACCAUUGUGUCACUAUACAUAAUCUCUCCAUUUGCCACCCUCACUUUACAUGAAGCACAAGGGUGCACGGUCAGGCCCAUUCGAUCGACCAGCUGCUUGUUAAUAAAGCUCGUAGAACUCCCCGAAUCCACCAGGACCAACAUGACUUGAUUCUGCAGCAAGGCGCGCACAACCAUACAUUCGUCAUUGGUAGUACCGCUGAGAGCAUUCAGAGACAAGCGAAAAUUCUCCUCUUCCCCUUUUUCCUCCAACUCAAUCUGUGUCAAUGUUUGCUCUGAUAAGGUCAUACCCAACUCUUCAUCGGUAAGAGCACUCAACUGCAUCUGCACCCUUUUGGGGCAGCGAGCUUGAUGGCCGGGUUCAAAUUUGUCACCACAGGUAUAGCACAAACCAUUUUGCUUCCGAUACUCUUUCACCAAUCGCUCUUUAGACAACUCGGGCAACGAAACCGAGCUUCUACUGUCAGCUUUGGGCACAGUACUACCAAAUCGACCUUGACUGCUAGUCGAGAAGGGUUUAUGGCGCUGUUUAUCCAAGAUUCCCUGCUGAAUACUGGCUAAUAAUGCCGCUCGUUCAACAGAAGCAGGCAUAUGAGAUUUAACCGGUCCUUGUAAUUCUUGCUUGAGUCCCUUAAUAAAAUGAGCCACAUAUAGAGUCUCAUCCAAAUCAUGAUUGUGGACAGAAGUGGCAUAUCUUGCUUCAUCAAACAGCUUUUUGUACUCCUCCACAGACCCUGACUGUCUAAUGUCCAGCAAAGACUGCAUAGCCUGAGAAUACUCCUCGGAUCCAAACUUCAACAGCACCGCGUCACAAAACUCCUCCCACGAACAUGGACCAUAUUGAAUCUUAAAAAUCUGAAACCACCUCUUAGCAUUCCCCUCCAUGUUCAACGAUGCUGACAUCACCCAAACUGACUCAGGGACCCGAUACAAAGUGAAAUAAUCCACACAUUGAUCAAUCCAGAUACGAGGUUCCUCCCCUGCGAAUUUGGGAAAUGGCAUCCGUGGUAUUGGGAGAUGCCCACCUUCAAAAUCCUCAACCCUCCGCCCUCCAUUCUCUCUCGGACGACCCAAUGGUACACCUGCAUACCUGCGCUGUGGACCUGGAGGAACAAGCGGCGGAGAUGGUGGAGGCCCGCCGCGAUGUCGUUCACUGCGCACAGAUUGCGCUGACUCCAUGUCCCGCGCCAUCUGCUCCAGACGGAGUUCCGCGAGCGCCUUCUCCGCUUGGUCCAACUGCUGCGCGAAGCGAACCCGCUCUUCCAUCGCCUGCCGAGCCACAUCGGCCGCCAGCCCCGCUUGCGCCAGCAACUGUUGUUGAACAUCAUCCAUGCUCAUCACCUUCUCCGUGAGCCGAUCGAGCUGCGCCAUCACCCGAUCCCAACGAUCGACAUCAUCUCGCUCCUUGUUCGUCAUCACCUCCAGGAGAAUCUUGGUCUGCGCCGACGGCUUCGGUGUGGGCGCCGUAGCGGCAAUCGGUGCGGGAACGCGAGGAAGGGGAUCCACGCCGAGGACGCCUGAAGCUGAUACCACUUGUAAUGGCCCGUGGCCGCCGACGGGAGAACCGCCGCGACGUGAGCUCGCUGCAGCCGCCAGGUACGCUGCCAGGUUACGGUUGGGAACUUUUCUCUGGUUCUAUUUCUUGUCUGCCUUAUUCUCAGUUCGCUACAGAAUUAUAGGUCACUUACAUGGGCCGAACCCACCAAACUCACGCCCACACACAUUGAGCCCAACAGCACGCACACCACGCACUUCCUGCUUCUUCAGUCUCCCAGCCUCUCUUCUCCCGCAUCCUUGCUCUCCAUGGCACUUCCUGCCG